UCAGUUCGGAUUGGAGGCUGAAACUCGCCUCCAUGAAGUUGGAUUCGCUAGUAAUCGCGCAUCAGCCAUGGCGCGGUGAAUACGUUCCCGGGCCUUGUACACACCGCCCGUCAAGCCAUGGGAGUUGGGGGGUGCCUGAAGUACGUGACCGCAAGGAGCGUCCUAGGGCAAAACCGAUGACUGGGGCUAAGUCGUAACAAGGUAGC
Molecule: ribosomal RNA, 206 nt
Filed under: uncultured bacterium
Lineage: Bacteria
Description: partial 16S ribosomal RNA
Rfam family: Bacterial small subunit ribosomal RNA
Source: RNAcentral